RNAcentral lists this ribosomal RNA (390 nucleotides) under Oenococcus oeni. RNAcentral describes it as "bacterial SSU rRNA". It matches the Rfam family "Bacterial small subunit ribosomal RNA", at positions 1150 to 1533 of the family's 1533-position model. The record is from RNAcentral. Lineage: Bacteria; Bacillati; Bacillota; Bacilli; Lactobacillales; Lactobacillaceae.
UGCCGGUGAUAAACCGGAGGAAGGUGGGGACGACGUCAGAUCAUCAUGCCCCUUAUGACCUGGGCAACACACGUGCUACAAUGGGAAGUACAACGAGUCGCAAACCGGCGACGGUAAGCUAAUCUCUUAAAACUUCUCUCAGUUCGGACUGGAGUCUGCAACUCGACUCCACGAAGGCGGAAUCGCUAGUAAUCGCGAAUCAGCAUGUCGCGGUGAAUACGUUCCCGGGUCUUGUACACACCGCCCGUCAAAUCAUGGGAGUCGGAAGUACCCAAAGUCGCUUGGCUAACUUUUAGAGGCCGGUGCCUAAGGUAAAAUCGAUGACUGGGAUUAAGUCGUAACAAGGUAGCCGUAGGAGAACCUGCGGCUGGAUCACCUCCUUUCUAAGGA